RNAcentral lists this ribosomal RNA (252 nucleotides) under uncultured bacterium. RNAcentral describes it as "partial 16S ribosomal RNA". It matches the Rfam family "Bacterial small subunit ribosomal RNA", at positions 524 to 776 of the family's 1533-position model. The record is from RNAcentral.
UACGUAGGGGGCGAGCGUUAUCCGGAUUUAUUGGGCGUAAAGCGUGUGUAGGUGGUUUGUUAAGUUUAAGAUAAAAUCCCAGGGCUUAACCCUGGGUCGUCUUAAAAACUGGCAGACUUGAGUGUAGUAGAGGCAAACGGAAUUUCUAGUGUAGCGGUGGAAUGCGUAGAUAUUAGAAGGAACACCAGUGGCGAAGGCGGUUUGCUGGGCUAUUACUGACACUGAGACACGAAAGCGUGGGGAGCAAAUAGG